UAAAUAAAUAAAAUACCUCUUUUUUGCAUAAUAAACAUAAAUAUUUACAUGGAUACAAAAACAAUAUGCUAUCAUAAAAUAAAUACCAUGUAAUUUUAGUGAAAGGUUGUUAUCAUUAUUUUUUAAUAUAGGAAUAAGAUGUAAAUAAUUUAAAUGAAAGAAGAUAGAGAACUAAAGAGUAACAGAAAGAGUGUCAUGAAGUAAUAAAAGAUGCAACCAUGGGCCUAAGGCCCAAUAACACAAACAACCCCCCCCCCCCCCCNAAAAAUAAAUAAAUAAAUCAAAUAAUAACAUAUCCCUAGGGAAAUAAAUUGGCGCUGCAGUCGAAAGAAAGUUAGAAAAGCAACUUUCACCUAUGCUAUUUCAAUAGCUCAUGGUACUGGCAGGAGGAAAAGGAAUAAGUCUCAAAUACUCAUCUUUUCUGUUAUCUCUCACAAACCCUCCACAUGGAGAAACAUGUAAAAUUACUCAUAAUAUUUACAAUAUUUUCAUACUAACUUAUAAUCCAUAUACCAACUAAAAACACUCCCACUGUCCUAGAGCGAUUUACACCUAUACAAUAAUACCAUACACAACCACACUUAGAGCAUCAGGAUAGGAAUUCUGGACUUCCAAAACUGUUUUUACAUAAGCAAUUCCAAUGGUUUACCGUAGAGAACAAAAUGAAAUUUAAAAAUUUACUGCAAUUUGGUGUGUGGUUUAUUUGGAAUAUGAGAUAUCAAAUCAUAAGGAAAACCACCAACUUGUAUUACAUUUGCAAGCUGCAAAAAAAUAAAUUAUUUAUGGUAUAUGAUAUAGCCAGACCAGAUCCGAUAUGUUCAUGGUACCAUGGAUAAUCGAGAUUAAUAACAAACUAACAUUCUAAAGAAUAGCUCAACGAAAAUCCAAUCGACAACCCAUACAUAUCUAGCAAGCAACUCUCAUGUUUACAAAGGGAAGUGUAAAUCGAAAAAUUACCAAUCGAGUUGUAAAUAAUACUGUUGUUGUUCGAAGGCGGGCAGGCGGCAGAGAAGAAAUGUUUGUGAGUGGUGGUUUCGGCGAUGAGGGUGUUGGAGAGGUGGCUAGCACGGCGGCGGCAAUCGCGGGGGUCCGAAGGUGAAAGAGAUUCCGGCGAUGGUGAAAGGGGUACCGGUGAUUUGAUGAAGGUUGUAGGUCCAGUGGGUUUAUAGUUGUUGGAGGAAGUGGAAGAUAUUGAGGUUGAAGGGGAAUCUAGUGGUGUUUGGUGCGGUUGUCGCUUGGUGUGGACGUGUGGUGGUUCACGCCGGAGGCGCGAUUGUGAGUUUGUUGCGAUGAAAUGAAACGGAGAAGGUGAGAGUUAUGGCGGAUUUGAAGCGUGAUGGUUGGUGCGCCGGCGAUUCGCGUGGUGGCUUUUGGAUGAGCAGAGAAGAAGAGGCUGGGUUUGGCGGCGAGCUCGAUGGAGCGUUUUGGUUUUGUGGUGGAGACGAUGAGAGAAAAGGGAUUUUGUAAGUGAGGUAGGUGGUGAGUGAGAGGAAAAAAAGUUUUUUUAAUUUUAUUUUCUUUUUCAGAGAGAAUAGUGGAGAGGAGGGUAGCUAGAGUGAGUGAGAGAGACGGGUGUAGUGAGGGGAAAAGAGAGAGAGCUGAAGAGAGUGAAAGGAAACACGAUGUGUGAUGUCGAGAGGGCAACGUGAGG
Molecule: long non-coding RNA, 1651 nt
Filed under: Lathyrus oleraceus (garden pea)
Lineage: Eukaryota; Viridiplantae; Streptophyta; Magnoliopsida; Fabales; Fabaceae
Description: Pisum sativum (pea) long non-coding RNA (PSAT_LNC030692)
Source: RNAcentral